GACGAACGCUGGCGGCGUGCCUAAUACAUGCAAGUCGAACGCAGUGGGGACGGGUGAGUAACACGUGGGUAACCUCCCAUCAGAGGGGAUAACACUUGGAAACAGGUGCUAACCCGACACUGAUGGAUGGACUCGCGGUGCAUUAGCUCGUUGGUGAGGUAACGGCUCACCAAGGCCACGAUGCAUAGCCGACCUGCGAGGGUGAUCGGCAACACGGGGACGGAGAGACGGCCCAGACUCCUACGGGAGGCAGCAGUAGGGAAUAUUAGACAAUGGACGAAAGUCUGACCGAGCAACGCCGCGUGAGUGAAGAAGGUUUUCGGAUCGUAAAGCUCUGUAGGUAGAGAAGCGGUAUCUAACCAGAAAGCCACGGCUAACUACGUGCCAGCAGCCGAGGUAAUAC
RNAcentral lists this ribosomal RNA (403 nucleotides) under uncultured bacterium. RNAcentral describes it as "partial 16S ribosomal RNA". It matches the Rfam family "Bacterial small subunit ribosomal RNA", at positions 28 to 526 of the family's 1533-position model. The record is from RNAcentral.